CGGUAAGGUGAUAUGAACCGUUAUAAACGGAGAUUUCCGAAUGGGGAAACACAGUGUGACUCGUCACAAUAUAAAUAAAUGAAUCCAUAGGUUAAUGAGGCGAACCGGGGGAACUGAAACAUCUAAGUACCCCGAGGAAAAGAAAUCAACCGAGAUUCCCCCAGUAGCGGCGAGCGAACGGGGAGGAGCCCAGAGCCUGAAUCAGCAUGUGUGUUAGUGGAAGCGUCUGGAAAGGCGCGCGAUACAGGGUGACAGCCCCGUACACAAAAGCGCAUGUGCUGUGAGCUCGAUGAGUAGGGCGGGACACGUGGUAUCCUGUCUGAAUAUGGGGGGACCAUCCUCCAAGGCUAAAUACUCCUGACUGACCGAUAGUGAACCAGUACCGUGAGGGAAAGGCGAAAAGAACCCCGGCGAGGGGAGUGAAAAAGAACCUGAAACCGUGUACGUACAAGCAGUGGGAGCNNGGGCGUUAAGUUGCAGGGUAUAGACCCGAAACCCGGUGAUCUAGCCAUGGGCAGGUUGAAGGUUGGGUAACACUAACUGGAGGACCGAACCGACUAAUGUUGAAAAAUUAGCGGAUGACCUGUGGCUGGGGGUGAAAGGCCAAUCAAACCGGGAGAUAGCUGGUUCUCCCCGAAAGCUAUUUAGGUAGCGCCUCGUGAAUUCAUCUCCGGGGGUAGAGCACUGUUUCGGCUAGGGGGCCAUCCCGGCUUACCAACCCGAUGCAAACUGCGAAUACCGGAGAAUGUUAUCACGGGAGACACACGGCGGGUGCUAACGUCCGUCGUGAAGAGGGAAACAACCCAGACCGCCAGCUAAGGUCCCAAAGUCAUGGUUAAGUGGGAAACGAUGUGGGAAGGCCCAGACAGCCAGGAUGUUGGCUUAGAAGCAGCCAUCAUUUAAAGAAAGCGUAAUAGCUCACUGGUCGAGUCGGCCUGCGCGGAAGAUGUAACGGGGCUAAACCAUGCACCGAAGCUGCGGCAGCGACGCUGAUGCGUUGUUGGGUAGGGGAGCGUUCUGUAAGCCUGCGAAGGUGGCCUGUGAGGGUUGCUGGAGGUAUCAGAAGUGCGAAUGCUGACAUAAGUAACGAUAAAGCGGGUGAAAAGCCCGCUCGCCGGAAGACCAAGGGUUCCUGUCCAACGUUAAUCGGGGCAGGGUGAGUCGACCCCUAAGGCGAGGCCGAAAGGCGUAGUCGAUGGGAAACGGGUUAAUAUUCCCGUACUUGGUGUUACUGCGAAGGGGGGACGGAGAAGGCUAUGUUGGCCGGGCGACGGUUGUCCCGGUUUAAGCGUGUAGGUGUGUGUUCCAGGUAAAUCCGGUUCACUUUAACACUGAGGCGUGAUGACGAGGCACUACGGUGCUGAAGCAACAAAUGCCCUGCUUCCAGGAAAAGCCUCUAAGCAUCAGGUAACAUCAAAUCGUACCCCAAACCGACACAGGUGGUCAGGUAGAGAAUACCAAGGCGCUUGAGAGAACUCGGGUGAAGGAACUAGGCAAAAUGGUGCCGUAACUUCGGGAGAAGGCACGCUGACACGUAGGUGAAGUGAUUUACUCAUGGAGCUGAAGUCAGUCGAAGAUACCAGCUGGCUGCAACUGUUUAUUAAAAACACAGCACUGUGCAAACACGAAAGUGGACGUAUACGGUGUGACGCCUGCCCGGUGCCGGAAGGUUAAUUGAUGGGGUCAGCGCAAGCGAAGCUCCUGAUCGAAGCCCCGGUAAACGGCGGCCGUAACUAUAACGGUCCUAAGGUAGCGAAAUUCCUUGUCGGGUAAGUUCCGACCUGCACGAAUGGCGUAAUGAUGGCCAGGCUGUCUCCACCCGAGACUCAGUGAAAUUGAACUCGCUGUGAAGAUGCAGUGUACCCGCGGCAAGACGGAAAGACCCCGUGAACCUUUACUAUAGCUUGACACUGAACAUUGAGCCUUGAUGUGUAGGAUAGGUGGGAGGCUUUGAAGUGUGGACGCCAGUCUGCAUGGAGCCGGCCUUGAAAUACCACCCUUUAAUGUUUGAUGUUCUAACGUGGACCCGUGAUCCGGGUUGCGGACAGUGUCUGGUGGGUAGUUUGACUGGGGCGGUCUCCUCCUAAAGAGUAACGGAGGAGCACGAAGGUUGGCUAAUCCUGGUCGGACAUCAGGAGGUUAGUGCAAUGGCAUAAGCCAGCUUGACUGCGAGCGUGACGGCGCGAGCAGGUGCGAAAGCAGGUCAUAGUGAUCCGGUGGUUCUGAAUGGAAGGGCCAUCGCUCAACGGAUAAAAGGUACUCCGGGGAUAACAGGCUGAUACCGCCCAAGAGUUCAUAUCGACGGCGGUGUUUGGCACCUCGAUGUCGGCUCAUCACAUCCUGGGGCUGAAGUAGGUCCCAAGGGUAUGGCUGUUCGCCAUUUAAAGUGGUACGCGAGCUGGGUUUAGAACGUCGUGAGACAGUUCGGUCCCUAUCUGCCGUGGGCGCUGGAGAACUGAGGGGGGCUGCUCCUAGUACGAGAGGACCGGAGUGGACGCAUCACUGGUGUUCGGGUUGUCAUGCCAAUGGCACUGCCCGGUAGCUAAAUGCGGAAGAGAUAAGUGCUGAAAGCAUCUAAGCACGAAACUUGCCCCGAGAUCAGUUCUCCCUGAGACUUAGAGCCUCCUGAAGGAACGUUGAAGACGACGACGUUGAUAGGCCGG
Molecule: ribosomal RNA, 2663 nt
Filed under: Salmonella enterica subsp. enterica serovar Schwarzengrund
Lineage: Bacteria; Pseudomonadati; Pseudomonadota; Gammaproteobacteria; Enterobacterales; Enterobacteriaceae
Description: partial 23S ribosomal RNA
Rfam family: Bacterial large subunit ribosomal RNA
Source: RNAcentral